RNAcentral lists this long non-coding RNA (1092 nucleotides) under Macaca fascicularis (crab-eating macaque). RNAcentral's name for it is "lncRNA (ENSMFAG00000049255.1)". The record is from RNAcentral. Lineage: Eukaryota; Metazoa; Chordata; Mammalia; Primates; Cercopithecidae.
UCCCAUCCAAUGCUAACUCCCACCUUUAUGAGGCAUGGGAGUUGCUAUUCCCUCUCAGGGCUGGUCGCUGGACAUCAUCUGGACAAGAGAAAGGGUAGGGUCUUUAUCGUGUGUGGAGUUACAUCCUGGGGCCGUGUUGUCCACAGUCCUGAUUUGUCAGGAGAUGGGGUGGUCGGGCCUCCACCUCCAAUAUAACUAUCAGAAUGUGGUAGAAUGACUCUCUGUGAGGCAUAGUGACAAUUUUGAUGACUCUUGUGCCACAAUGGAAAUUCCAUGAAAUAGAUUCACUGAGUGAAGAAUAGACUGUGAUGGAAAUUCACCGAUGCAAAUUCCUUCAUUUUACCCUCUCUAUCCUAUGGAAUCUUGCUUUUAUUGAUGGUCUUGCUUGGUGGAAAAGAAGAACCAAGAAGGUUACGUGGGUGUGAAACUGCCCACAGCACCUGAGUUGCUCUGGUUUUAAUAGGCUGGCGUCUCACAGUGAAUCUCCCAAACAAUAAUACAGUUGCUAUGGUCUGGGUAUGAAAAGAAGGUGCAAGAAAGGUCUUCAAAGGCCUACCUACUGGUAUGUGAUCCACACACAUUUUCUGUCUCUCCUCUUGUCCCCUGAUGGGAAUGUGUACCUUCAAGGAACUCUAGAGGAACCAGCCUUUGUAAAGGUUCCCGGAGUGAUGGCUAAAUGUGUUCACGGAGGCAAAGGGUGCAAGCCCUGAAUACUGCAGCUCACACUGGAACGUGGCUCAGAGCGUGGUGCCCCAUCUGCCCGGGACAAAGUGAUAGGUUGCCUUGGCUGUUGGCAUGAACCUUCUGGAGCCUAGGCCUGAAGUGACUAAUCUGAUGUUGCUUUUCAGAUGCCUAGGAGGCAAAGGAGAGGGUCUCAGAGCUCGAGCCACACCAUGUCCACUACCUGAGCCUGAGCUUGAGCACUUGAUUGCUUUAGGAGAAACACCUUUUAAAAAUUGUGGAAUCCCAGCUACUCAGGAGAGAUGGGAGACGGGAGAAUGGCAUGAACCCGGGAGGUGGAGCUUGCAGCAAGCAGAGAUUGCACCACUACACUCCUGGGCGACAGGGUGAAACUCCGUCUCAAAAAAAAAA